AUGUGGCUGGCCGUCCAAUACAGGAUUUGGACUUCGGAUAGACGAGUACGACACGGAUUGCAGGACAUGAUAUCUCCAUGUUUUUUGUGUGAGCAGGAGGAGGACACGGUGGAUCACAUCCUCACACAUUGUGUCUAUGCAAGGCAGGUCUGGUUUCAAUGCUUCACCAAGGUUGAGAUCCCUUUGGAGCUGAUGCCAAAUGGACAUGAAAGGGUCGAAGACUGGUGGGUAGCUUCGAGGAAGAGGGUGCCCAAGGCACAGCGGAAGGACUUCGACACCUUUGUCAUUUUGAUUUGUUGGAGUUUAUGGAAGCAGAGGAAUGGUAGGGUUUGUGGUAGGAACAACUUGUGUAAUGAACUAGAGUUGGUUAGGGACAUUUUCAGGGAACGCCAAUUAUGGGCGCUAGCGAGAGGGAGUGGGGUGCUACAUUUUUGCGAGUAG
This 441-nucleotide ribosomal RNA is filed under the name Triticum aestivum (bread wheat). Its description in RNAcentral is "partial small subunit ribosomal RNA". The record is from RNAcentral. Lineage: Eukaryota; Viridiplantae; Streptophyta; Magnoliopsida; Poales; Poaceae.